UACGUCUGCUACGACGAGGAGCCACGUACGGACCGACUCUAAAAGAAACCGGGGCGACCGUUUCGGCCUCGGCAUGUUUGGUAGUAUAAGCAACGCUAAUCAACGCUAAUUAAAGAGCGAGUGAGAUCGUUCGGCUGUACGUACUAAUAUUGCAAAAAAUAAAAGACUACAUCAUUUUACACACUGUGACGAUCCGGUGGUUUAAUAUUUACUUUAGAUAUAAACGAAUACAGACGUUUCAAAGGAAAGCCACACCUUAAAUACAAACCUAAGACGGGCAUCGAAAUGGUAAAAACAAAUACUAAAAGAAUCCCACAUACAUAAGUAGGAGCAUGAUGAGUAGUCAACUAAUCUAUAUACCUGCGCACGUAGCGCGCGUUAAUUUGAUGAUACGUCGUUGCUGCAGCAGUGUCGAGUUCUUCUUAAUGGCGCGCGCCUCCUAGUUGUUCUUGCGGUCGGUGCCUUUGUCUUCUCCUCGAUCGGUACCGCAGGAGGAGGGCGAGGGUGGUUCUUCGCCUCCUGCCCCUCGAGCUACCGCUGGCGUAGUGGAGGGGUGAGGACGGCAGCAGCUGCAGGGCGUCGAGCGGCCUCGCCCUGCUCCUCCUCCUCCCCCUCUUGAGCGGCUAGCUCGUCCACCGCGACUGCCACGGCCACCCGCUGCUGGGCCUGUGCGGCCACGACUGCAAGGCCUACACCCAGGAGCCGCAGGAGAGGACGCGGCACGAGAGGAAGGAGUUGGUCAAGAAGACCAUGGCGUUCCUCGGCGAGUGGCAGUGCCGGUAGAGGCGGGUCCAGCGGCAGCACGGCGAGCCUGCCGAGUACCGCCGGCGCGACGGCCUCGCGCGGAAGAAGGCGCCGUCCGGCAUACUCAAGUGGGAGUUGGGCCCGGGGAAGUUGCACUUCCUCGUGCACGACUAGUGUUAGAAGCGGUUGCGGCCGCGGCCGUGGCAGAUGCGGUAGGUGCAGCAGUGGCGGCAGGCGCAGAAGAUGCCGUUCUUAGAUAGGAAGAAGCAGAGGGAGGAGCACCACGAGUGGUGGGUCCACGAGCCCAAGCCCACCCGCCCGUAUAAGGCCGCCAUGGAGCACCUCGGCCGCUCGUACACCACCGGGAGGUUGGAGCACGUCCAGAGGGAGAAGUCCCGCGAGGUGCUCUUUCUUCCCGCGGCUUUUCCACCGAAGUGCACGUUGGUCAAGAAAGAC
RNAcentral lists this ribosomal RNA (1200 nucleotides) under Triticum aestivum (bread wheat). RNAcentral describes it as "partial small subunit ribosomal RNA". Lineage: Eukaryota; Viridiplantae; Streptophyta; Magnoliopsida; Poales; Poaceae. The record is from RNAcentral.